UGAGUUAGAGUAAACUGUCAAGACUUAAAACUUACUUACUUUACCUCCACCAUGGGACUUGUAACUGUCACUUCUGUCUUGAGUGGUUAAAAGAUAGAACGGUCUAGCCAAGUGCCAUGUCUCUUAUUCUUGAUCAGCUAUAGCUCUGGGGUUUUUGUAGAUUUUCAAAUAAAACUCAGAGAUUCCUUGUAUGAUUCUCUCAGGUCUCUCUUUUGUGGUAUUUCUGGAUCCUUACCAAGGCAUUGAUGGUAUAUGCCUUCUCUCAAGAUAUGUGGUAUUUGUGGUAUGAGGCAUAGUGAUAUUGCCUUCUCUCUCACCCUACUCUACUAAGGCUUUAAUAUCUGGAGCUCAUAGGUGGGAGAUAAAGUAUACAUACUUACAAGACAUUUAUUGCAUAGUCAAACCAUGGAUCCAAAGUAACAAGUCAAUAAGUUUAAUCAAGAUGUGCAUGUGUGGCGAAUGAAUGGUAUAUGGUGAUGAUGGUGAUAACAAUGGUGAAAACAAUGGUGGUGGAAGUCUAAUUCUACUUUGCUCUUUUGAGGGGAUACAUACCUUCCUUGCUUUUGAAACUUUAUGAUGAGAAUGAGAUGCUCUUCUUUUUCUUUUCUCUCAGGUGGGUAUCUUGCACCCCUAAUUCUACUGUCGGACACUUGUCCAUUUUUACCUCUCGUCUCACUUUUUCUUUUCUUUCGAGGUUCCGAGCACUUGCUCCUUUUUAUUUCCUCGUAUUAUUUCUUCUUUUUUUUAGAGCAUUCAUCUCUUGAGAUAAUAUAGCAAGUGGUAGUAACAAGAUAACUUGAGCAUUUAUCUCACAAGGGGAAAACAGAAAUAUUUUUGGUUAUUCUCUCCCGGAUUAGGAGCAGAAUAUUUUUGGGUGAUUCUGGAGAUGGAAUGGGUGGAUAUAUGUGGAUGGUACUUCCGGAGUAGAAGUAGCAUAUAUGAGUGAACGUGCAAGUGAAAUCUUGAUUUAACCACAUGACAAGCUCCUAAGGGUCUACAGAGCUUGACCACACUCAAUGCUCAUAAGCAGUAAAUAAUAAAUGUUUGGCUCAAAGUCUAGCAAGCAUGUAUAUAUGGCUGUGGUAGGAAUUUAAACUCUCAUCAUACAGGAACUCAUCAUGCAACAUUUUAAAGAUUUUCAAAGAUAAAAUUCUCCAGAAUUCUAGCAUCUCUAGG
This 1176-nucleotide long non-coding RNA is filed under the name Sorghum bicolor (sorghum). RNAcentral describes it as "long non-coding RNA (SBIC_LNC012634)". The record is from RNAcentral. Lineage: Eukaryota; Viridiplantae; Streptophyta; Magnoliopsida; Poales; Poaceae.